AACGAACGCUGGCGGCAUGCCUAACACAUGCAAGUCGAACGAGACCUUCGGGUCUAGUGGCGCACGGGUGCGUAACGCGUGGGAACCUGCCCUUAGGUUCGGAAUAACUCCCCGAAAGGGGUGCUAAUACCGGAUAAUGUCUUCGGACCAAAGAUUUAUCGCCUUUGGAUGGGCCCGCGUUGGAUUAGCUAGUUGGUAGGGUAAAAGCCUACCAAGGCGACGAUCCAUAGCUGGUCUGAGAGGAUGAUCAGCCACACUGGGACUGAGACACGGCCCAGACUCCUCCGGGAGGCGGCAGUGGGGGAUAGUGGACAAUGGGCUAGAGGCAGAUCCAGCAAUUCCGCGUGAUUGAAGAAGGCCUGAGGGUUGAAAAGCUCUUGUACCAGGGAGGAUAAGGAGCGGACCGGGAGAAUAAGAUGCGGCGAACUCCGUG
This 433-nucleotide ribosomal RNA is filed under the name uncultured bacterium. RNAcentral describes it as "partial 16S ribosomal RNA". It matches the Rfam family "Bacterial small subunit ribosomal RNA", at positions 29 to 507 of the family's 1533-position model. The record is from RNAcentral.